UUUCCGUAGGUAGCAAGUUUGCCUAUCGAGCCUGGGCAGCGACUCUAAAUAUCUGCCUUAGUCGCCCUGGAAUAGGGCUGGCAACGUUAUCAAUUUGCGCUGGAAUACCCUCUUCGAGAGGUUGACCAGGAGCUCCAGAGAUCUCUGGAGUUCACAGAUCAAACGAUGGCGGCCGCUUGGGCGGUUGAGAUAUGAUCGGCCUCUGGCUGUCCCGUUGCUAGAGAUUAGUGGAACCUGCGGAAGGAUCAUUA
RNAcentral lists this ribosomal RNA (251 nucleotides) under Parmelia praesquarrosa. RNAcentral describes it as "partial 18S ribosomal RNA". The record is from RNAcentral. Lineage: Eukaryota; Fungi; Ascomycota; Lecanoromycetes; Lecanorales; Parmeliaceae.